AACGUAGGUGGCAAGCGUUAUCCGGAUUCACUGGGCGUAAAGCGCAUGCAGGUGGCACAGUAAGUAGGGCAUGAAAACUCCUGGCUUAACCGGGAGAGGCUGUCCUAGACUGCUGAGCUUGAGGAUGGGAGAGGGAAGUGGAAUUGCCGGUGUAGUGGUGAAAUGCGUAGAGAUCGGCAGGAACACCCGUGGCGAAAGCGGCUUCCUGGCCCAUUCCUGACACUCAGAUGCGAAAGCUAGGGGAGCGAACGGG
RNAcentral lists this ribosomal RNA (253 nucleotides) under uncultured bacterium. RNAcentral describes it as "partial 16S ribosomal RNA". It matches the Rfam family "Bacterial small subunit ribosomal RNA", at positions 524 to 776 of the family's 1533-position model. The record is from RNAcentral.